CUAUCUCUCUUAUCUAUCGGUGGCAGCAGAGACCUUUCAUUUUUGUGACCUUUCAUUUUGGCAGCAGAGAAUAAUUGAUUUCAUUCUGCUUCAAGAACUCCUCAAGGAGGCGUUUAGCUCUUUCAGGAUCAGAACUCUCGCAUUCAAUCUCAUAGACUGUUACAAAAUCAAAACUGGUUUCACCCACCUCCAAUUUCAAACCCUUCCAAUCCUUUUUUAGCUCCAAAUUCCUCUUGCACCCUCUUCAAAAUCCUAGACUCCAUUGACCCCAACUUUGUCGGCUCCGCCAACCAUUCACGUCCUCCUCCACGCUCCACCAUAUUUUCCCAUUCCCAAAAUUCCUCAUUCUCCCUUUCCUGUCUGAACCCUCGAUCACUCUUACACGCUCCUAUAUUCACUCCUCCACCGUCGCUCUCUCGAACAACCACAACACCAUCUUCAUCACAUGGUCAAUUUUGUUCUUUCUAAUUAUCUCUCUUCCUUUUUUCGUUUAUCUAAUUUGUUCUCACGCACCAAUAACUAAAUCCACGAAUUUCUAGUUUUUUUGUUGAAUUUUGUUGCAUCGGAAUUUUUGAGCUGGUUUCAUAUUUGAUCUAUUCAUUUAACUUGAACGAUGACUUUUUUAAUUUUUUGAAAAGGAAUUAAUCGUGGCAUUUUCAGAUUUGAUUUAGGUGUUUCGAUUGAGUUUUUCCCAAAUUGAUAGCUUAAUAUGAUAGUUAUAUUGCGGAUUUCAGUUUACAACAGCUUGUGAUGCGUGAUGUGUUUGAUCUGCAGAGAAAUCAGUUUUGUGAUCUGACAUGUGGAUUGAUUCAAUUUUUAUUUAUUGAUUUAUUUAUUUAUUUUUAUUUUAUGAUGCUGAGCAUGUGGAUUUAACUUCUUUUAUGUGAUAAUUAUGCGUGGAAUUUUCAAAUAAGGCAUAUAUUCUUGUUUUGUUUUUGUUUUUGGUUGCAUAUAUUCUUAUUCUUAUAUUAGAUUUAUUUUGGUGAUGUUUCUUAUAUGAAAUUUAUUAAUGAGUAAAUAUGAUUUUAUUUUGGGAUUUAAGUGAUGACAAAUAUAACGAGACUUUUUAUUUUUUAUUGAUGUUUACUUAUUUUGGACGAUACUGGGUUUGUUGAGUGAUUGUGCUAAAUUUUAUCAAGAACUAAUGAUGUUGUUAGUAAUCCAUUGUUGUUUUCGGGAUGGGAGGAGGCUAAAAGAUAUUUGGAUGUGGAUGCUUACGUUCAAGGAUGUUGUUUUUGGGAUUGUUGUGGAGGGAACCUUUGUUGAGGGAAUAAAGGAAGAGGUUGUACUCUCCCCUACGCAUGCUCUGUCCCUUAUAGCUGCCGGAGAAGGUAAUUGCUAAAUUAACAGAUGGAAAGGAAACUCAUAUUCCUUAUCGAGAUUCAAAGCUCACUCGAUUGUUACAAUCAUCCCUUAGUGGCCAUGGACGAAUUUCUCUCAUUUGCACAGUUACUCUUGCUUAUAGCAGUAGUGAAGAGACACACAACACAUUAAAAUUUGCACACCGAAGUAAGCAUGUUGAAAUUAAAGCUUUUCUUAAUAAGAUUAUGGAUGAGAAAUCUCUGAUCAAGAAGUAUCAGAAGGAAAUUUCUGAGUUAAAGCAGGAGUUGCAGCAGUUGAAGCGUGGCAUGGUUGAGAAUCCCAAUAUGGCCACAUCUUCACAAGAAGAUCUGAUUACUUUGAAGCUUCAGGGUUGUGCUGAUGCAUAUAUCUUGGAUUAUCUAAUAAGUGUCACUGUACUUGGUGGGAGACUUUAUAAUAUGCCAGAAUAAAAUCUUGAAGCUGUGCAAUCCAAAUUGAAGUCAAGAUUGCAAGAGGAGGAACAAGCUAAAGCAACAUUGAUGAGAAGAAUUCAACGACUAACCAAAUUAAUCUUAGUUUCUACAAAGAAUGCAAUGUCAUCAAGCAUUGCAGAAAGGCCCAGUCAUAGACGAAGGCAUUCUUUUGGGGAAGAUGAGCUAGCAUAUUUACCAGAUAGAAUAAGUUCAGUAAUUAGGGCUUUGUUGAGGAUCGGCUAGCUACCUUAAAAAAUGUCAUCAAAGAGCCUGAGUUAGACCAAUGGAAUUUGUAUCUAGGUAAUUGGGGUUACAACACCCAGAAAAAAAAAAAAAAAAGAGGAAGCUGUUGCUAUCCCCAUAAUUCAUGUUCUUGAGCUCUUCAACUUCAGCAAGAAGUUGAAAUAGAGGAAAUGAAAAUUGGUGAAAUUCUUGGGAAGUGUCUGACAAAUUUCUUACCAAUGUUCAUAGUCAAAAGGUUCCUUUAGUGAUAACAUGGACGCUACCAGUAACAACCAUUGUUCUUGUAGUUUCUUGUAAAAUUCUUGUGUGGAACAUGAUGCCUCAUCCACAUGGACAGACCCAUGGAUACUGUGAACUCAAUUGUUACUGACAUACUCCAAUGGCCUCAUAGGAUUGUGGUUCCACUUGGUGGCAUUCCUAUUGAUACCAGUGAACGGGAGCUUAAACCCCAGGGAAAACUUGCACUGACUGUAGUGAAAGCAACCACUUUAAAGUAUAUGGAAAUGAUUGGAAAAUCAGAUCCUAAUGUAGUUGUCCAUAUUCAACCAUUAUUUAAGUAUAAAACCAAUGUUCUUGAUAACAACCUGAAUCCUUUUUGGAAUGAGAAAUUUGAGUUGAUUGCAGAAGACAAGGAGACCCAAUCACUCAUUCUUGAGUAGUGAUCCCUUACCUCGAGGUAGUCGCUCAAGUGUUAUCCAUUAACAAUGAUGAUGAACUGGAUUAGAAGACUGAAGGAUGGAAUGCCAAAAUAUUUGUGGAACUGGAAAAUGGUUAUAAAGGAACCAUGGACCAUUACCGGAUGAAGGUGUUAUCUCAGCCACAGAUGACACAGGCUCAACAUGAGUUUUCUCCACUUCAGUGUUUGUUGACUUGGCUAUCUGCAAAUGGAAGAUAAUGUUGAUUUAGUUGUAUUGAUAUACUUUCUUUGCAAACAAAAGUUAUAUUAUGCUUACAGAUUUCUACCACAGCAAAACA
This is a long non-coding RNA of Glycine soja, 2993 nucleotides long. RefSeq lists it as uncharacterized. The transcript has 14 exons. NCBI's taxonomy places the organism in Eukaryota, Viridiplantae, Streptophyta, Magnoliopsida, Fabales, Fabaceae. The record is from RefSeq and is a predicted model, not a curated record.